RNAcentral lists this ribosomal RNA (274 nucleotides) under uncultured bacterium. Its description in RNAcentral is "partial 16S ribosomal RNA". It matches the Rfam family "Bacterial small subunit ribosomal RNA", at positions 523 to 796 of the family's 1533-position model. The record is from RNAcentral.
AUACGGAGGGUGCAAGCGUUACUCGGAAUCACUGGGCGUAAAGGACGCGUAGGCGGGAUGCCAAGUCUGAUGUGAAAUCCUAUGGCUCAACCAUAGAACUGCAUUGGAAACUGGUAACCUAGAGUAUGGGAGGGGGAGAUGGAAUUAGUGGUGUAGGGGUAAAAUCCGUAGAUAUCACUAGGAAUACCGAAAGCGAAGGCGAUCUCCUGGAACAUUACUGACGCUAAGGCGUGAAAGCGUGGGGAGCAAACAGGAUUAGAAACCCGAGUAGUCC